CUGAACAGAAUAGAAACAGCAGAGAGUAUAUUCUCAGUGUACUGGGGCUCUCUCCUCACUCUACAGUCUGAACAUCACAGGCUAACUAGUUUACUGUACACCCUCAGAAUGGGACCAAUCCACCAACUUCAGAUUCUGGUAUCUGUGUGUAUCUAGACUACGUAAUGUUGGGGAAUGAGCUGCUGUACUUUACCUUGUACAGCAGAGUGAGAGAGAGAGAGGGGGGAUAAGAAAAGCAGCUGACGUCAAACCUAUACAGAGGACAACCUUUCCACCUGAUGCCAACGCCGCAUUCAGGACCACUUUAGAAAGUGCCCUCUUCUUUCCCUCCCUCCAUCUCCCUGUUCUCCUGCAGAGCGAGCCCCAGC
RNAcentral lists this long non-coding RNA (368 nucleotides) under Salmo salar (Atlantic salmon). RNAcentral describes it as "lncRNA (ENSSSAG00000101632.1, ENSSSAG00020060747.1)". The record is from RNAcentral. Lineage: Eukaryota; Metazoa; Chordata; Actinopteri; Salmoniformes; Salmonidae.